Molecule: long non-coding RNA, 319 nt
Filed under: Gallus gallus (chicken)
Lineage: Eukaryota; Metazoa; Chordata; Aves; Galliformes; Phasianidae
Source: RNAcentral
CGAAUCUCUCCCAGCUCUUCCCCGGGGCGGCUGAUGCCGCCGUGCCCAUCGCCCUGCGGGAUGCGGCCCCACGGGAGGUGGAGACCACAGAACCACAGAACAGUUGGAAGGGACCUCGAAGGUCCUCCAGUUCCAACCCCCAGCCUACAGACUGUACCCAAAAGCCCAAAUGUGAACCAUCCAUAACACAUUUCCACCUCUUUUUGACCAACGCAACCAUCGCGGGACGCUCAGGGCGAGAGCCCGUUGGGUUUUGAUGAUCUCCAAGGACAGACAGCCCACAUCCUCUCUGUACAACCAGCUCCAGUCUGACUGCCCU